Molecule: non-coding RNA, 148 nt
Organism: Homo sapiens (human)
Lineage: Eukaryota; Metazoa; Chordata; Mammalia; Primates; Hominidae
Rfam family: Metazoan signal recognition particle RNA
About the family: The signal recognition particle (SRP) is a universally conserved ribonucleoprotein. It is involved in the co-translational targeting of proteins to membranes.
Source: Rfam
GCCAGGUGUGGUGGUGCACGCCUGUAAUCCCAGCUACUCGGGAGGCUGAGGCAGGGGACUUGCUUGAAACCGGGAGGCGGAGGUUGCAGUGAGCUGAGAUCACGCCACUGCACUCCAGCCUGGGCGACAAAGCAAGACUCCGUCUCCA